This is a long non-coding RNA of Galleria mellonella (greater wax moth), 1372 nucleotides long. RefSeq lists it as uncharacterized. The record is from RefSeq and is a predicted model, not a curated record. The transcript is spliced from 2 exons. NCBI's taxonomy places the organism in Eukaryota, Metazoa, Arthropoda, Insecta, Lepidoptera, Pyralidae.
AUUUCGUCCAGUCAGUUUGUUCGCCAUACUAAAUUGCAUAAAAAAAAAAUACAGAAUAAAUUAGUAUCUAUUUUAAAAUUAAUAAUAAUAAUAAUAAUAAUAAUAACUUUAUUGCAUAACCAUGAUUUUAACAAACUCAGCACUGGAAAUUACAGUAAAAGUAGAUACGAAUUCAUUUGUACAUUUGGAUCAGUUUAAACAUCUGUGUCUGAACUAGGUUAUAAAACCUGUAUCUCAGACAACAGCGCUCAACCCUCAUUACAUAGUAUAAUGUUAGUUCAGCUAAAUUUUUAGUGCUACAUAUAGAAUAUUGAUAUUAUAUAAAGUUAGUAUAUCUAAUUAUAACAAUUGGCAAUAAUGAAAAUUGUGAAAUAAUGUGUCCCUGUGUGUAGAGUGUAAUUUGAAUGUAUGUGUGUGGGAGAGUGUGUAAAAUUAUUUGUAUGUUACUGUAAUAUUAUUUAAAUAAUUUAAAGGUUUAUCUUGAAUUUAAUUGUAAAUUACUAUCAGUUUAUGGUAAAAUAAAAGGAAUAAUAACUAUCGUAAGUCAUUAUCACCAUUAUUAUAUCAAUCGUUAUGUGUCCACUGCUGAACGUAGGCCUCCCCCAUAGACUUCCAUAAGGAACGGUCCCAACCUAUCAGCAUUCACUGAUUCCCUAUUGUGUAUGUGUUGCAGAUCGUGAAGAAACCUUAAUACUCUAAUACACUCUUUUUGAAGAACCCUAUACUGUAGUCGCUAGGAAAAACCUAGGCAGAGAGCUCAUUCUACAGGCAGUGCGUUCGCGGGAGAAAACUUUUCUUAAACCGCGCUGUACGCGACAAUUUAGGCUCUCGCGUGUGAGGAUGAAUUACCUAUCAGUGACGAACGAAGUGAUGAUAAAAUUUGAGGAUGUUAUUUCGAAUAAUUCCUCAGAAUAUAAUCCGUUAUAUAAGUGGUAGAACACACAAAUGGAAACAAGGUCUAGCCUUAGACUAUAGGGCUCGAUAGAAUCUGCGAGCUUGGAUCGCCGACAAUUAUCAUAGCCCAUCUUUGAACUGUAUCAAGAGGCUCAAGCUGGUAUUCAGGGGGGAUUGGAUUCUAAAAAAAAGGCGUGUACUUUCCGAUAUGUCUUUGCAAAGUCCGCAUCUUGGGAUGGGCACUAGACAAUUCUGGGAUGGGCGCGAUCCACUCGGCAUCUACGAGCUCAACCCAGACUAAUCAGAUUCGAGCUUAUUCAGAAAAGCUUGUUUUCUAAAUUGGCCCGACCGGGAAUGUUAUCAGGGACCUUAUUUAGACAAAACAACGUCCCCACCACUGCACCACUGAAGAUGUCUAGUAAUAUAAAACGAUAAUUGUAGAUGUUAUUUCCAACAAUUAACAUUAAUCCAUUCCUAA